Thalassophryne amazonica is the source of this 1255-nucleotide long non-coding RNA. RefSeq lists it as uncharacterized. The record is from RefSeq and is a predicted model, not a curated record. Lineage: Eukaryota; Metazoa; Chordata; Actinopteri; Batrachoidiformes; Batrachoididae. The transcript is spliced from 3 exons.
GGAGGAGGGGCCUCUGUUCCUUCCACAGGUCCCGCCCACCUCAGUGAAGGAGGAGCUGAUACCUGAGCUCCUCGGCUGUGAGCUGCUGCGUGAGGCAACGAUCGUGCCGUGCUGUGGAAGGACCUUCUGUAACCAGUGUAACUCCAGACUGUCUUUGAUCAUCCUGGAGCUGAUCAAUGGUCACUGCAUACUGGGUCAACAGAACCAUGGACCAUGUGAUGCUGUAGUUCUGCACCUCAACAGACUGUCCUGUUGCUCGCACUGAUCCAGAUUAAAAUUCUUCACUACACUGCUUCAGCAGAUAUUUGGUAAAGACCUCCAGCGUCCACAUUCUGUCUGCCUGGACAAUCCUUAAAGUGAUGUGAAAAUCUGCCAUUUUGCUUUUAACAACACACAAGUGAGAUGAUUAUUGUCUGUGUUCACAGUGCAAGAGGAGUCAAUCAGAUAAUCUCUAAAGUUUUCACAUAUAACCUGCUUAAGAGUGAGGAAUUCUUAUUUCCCAGAAUGAAAAUGGUUUUACCAAGAACACAGAGUGACACUUUUUAUAUUUCAGUGAGCUGCUGAAAAAAACAGGCAUGAUCUAUGUUACAUGAGUGAACUGUAAACUUCUGUUUAAAAAAAAGUUAAUGUUUCAGAUGCUCUAGAAAGUCGGCUUAUAGGAUUUUUUUUUUCCUGCAAAUUUUCAGUGUUUAUUAAAAGUGCCUUGUGGGUCCAGGACCGUGUUGUGUUUGCUGACCUUUCUUCAACCCCUCCGACAAACUUAGAAAUUGGUCAGAAACACAACUGUAUGUAAUGUUAAUCUGAAGUGGGUAAAGAUCUUUAAAGAAAAUUCAUUACAAUCUAAAGCUGAAUCCUAAUUUCAGCAUCUAUACCAUCCCAACUUUAUUUAUAAAGUACCUUAAAACAGCCAGCACAGAUACCUCUUUCUGCCUUUUCUGGGAUACUUUGGACACCACUGGUCUAUAAGAAAGCUGAACCAACAAAACCCAAUAUUGACUGUAUUGCAAAACUAAUACAAUAGCAGUUUUAUGACAUAAUGUUGUCAUACGUAAACUGUGGAAAAACAAUGCAAGUGCUUAUGGGUAUAGACCAACCCUGGUCUGUUGUGAAAGCUGUCAACAGCUGCUCAGUGCUCCCUCUAUUAGCUCUAAAUAUCUCCAAGAUGUUGACUGUAUUCAGUGCCUUCAUAGAAUUCUUGCUUGGGGUCCUUGCCCACAAUCCUGUUGAACUCCAUGUACCCCUGAAAAAUACAGAA